This 253-nucleotide ribosomal RNA is filed under the name uncultured microorganism. Its description in RNAcentral is "partial 16S ribosomal RNA". It matches the Rfam family "Bacterial small subunit ribosomal RNA", at positions 524 to 776 of the family's 1533-position model. The record is from RNAcentral.
UACGUAGGUGGCAAGCGUUGUCCGGAAUUAUUGGGCGUAAAGCGCGCGCAGGUGGUUCCUUAAGUCUGAUGUGAAAGCCCACGGCUCAACCGUGGAGGGUCAUUGGAAACUGGGAGACUUGAGUGCAGAAGAGGAAAGUGGAAUUCCAUGUGUAGCGGUGAAAUGCGUAGAUAUCGGCAGGAACACCAGCGGCGAAGGCGGUUCUCUGGACUGUAACUGACACUGAGGCUCGAAAGCGUGGGUAGCAAACAGG